RNAcentral lists this ribosomal RNA (437 nucleotides) under Clostridium sporogenes. RNAcentral describes it as "bacterial SSU rRNA". It matches the Rfam family "Bacterial small subunit ribosomal RNA", at positions 1 to 439 of the family's 1533-position model. The record is from RNAcentral. Lineage: Bacteria; Bacillati; Bacillota; Clostridia; Eubacteriales; Clostridiaceae.
CAAUUUAGUUUGAUCCUGGCUCAGGACGAACGCUGGCGGCGUGCUUAACACAUGCAAGUCGAGCGAUGAAGCUUCCUUCGGGAAGUGGAUUAUCGGCGGACGGGUGAGUAACACGUGGGUAACCUGCCUCAAAGUGGGGGAUAGCCUUCCGAAAGGAAGAUUAAUACCGCAUAAUAUAAGAGAAUCGCAUGAUUUUCUUAUCAAAGAUUUAUUGCUUUGAGAUGGACCCGCUGGCGCAUUAGCUAGUUGGUAAGGUAAUGGCUUACCAAGGCAACGAUGCGUAGCCGACCUGAGAGGGUGAUCGGCCACAUUGGAACUGAGACACGGUCCAGACUCCUACGGGAGGCAGCAGUGGGGAAUAUUGCGCAAUGGGGGAAACCCUGACGCAGCAACGCCGCGUGGGUGAUGAAGGUCUUCGGAUUGUAAAGCCCUGUUUU